UUUUUUUUUUUUUUGUUCGAAAAUUGACUUGAAUGUUUGAAGGUUCAUAUCACUCUGCUUGCAGUUUGUAUGUAAGACAGUGCAGAAUUAUCGGUGUCUAUAUCAAAGCAAGACCAAAGCUUCUGCCAGUAUCUUCCUGCCAUUUUCAUUAGCAUACAUGUAUGCAUAUAUUCCAACAUUCAGGUUUGUACGUGCGUUUUUGCUUAAGCAUCAUUAGCUUAUGUGUAUUUUAACGUUGUUGACUUUGCAUAGAUGACAUUUGAAAUGUUUAUUCAUCAACUUGAGUGUUAUUAUUUCAAACCCUGGAUAUACAAUAUAUCUAUUCCCGCCCUCUUCAUAGUUUGCUUUCAACAACAUUUGAAAGUUGAAACAAGUCCACAUUAUUUAGCUCCUUAGAUCAGCAUCAGCUCAACAUUUUCAUUAACUUGAGAAUUAAAUCAAAUGUGCAUGUAGAUAUUGAGAUCGGCCUGAAUAGCAUUCCCUUACCGAUAACCAAACACAGCCGUCGGCUUGCCCAUAGUUGCCUUCCGGAUAGUAAAUUUUUGGUUUGCUGCUGCAGUUUCUCACUUUUUCCAUUCGUAGGGUUUUGCAAUUUUCUCAGUUUAAUUGGCUUCUGCAAGCUUUCAUGGUUCAUACAUAUUAUGUUGGUUGAAUUAAAAACGUAGAUGCACAUCACCAAGUCAACCUAGCCACUUCAGUCUUAUCUUUGGUGGCAUAUGGCCGCCACAAUAUUUUAUAACUUUGAGAAAAAUGCCAAAGCUAAUCUAAUCCAUUGUCUUAUUUUUUUUUUUUGGCAAGGUUGUCUGUUUUCUUUUUUUGUUUCUUCCCUUUUGGAUGCAAAUGUGAAUCGUAGAAUUUAGUAUGAUAAUAUGAUGACAUGUAAAAGAUAAAGCUGUAUUGUUUAAAUUUCAGGCGGUUCAGGUACUCAAUAGAGUGAUAAGGUUCCUAACUCUAGCUAAGCUAGCUUCUUAGACUAUUUUUGUCUAACACAGGUUUUUUGUGCCAGUAUCCUUUCACCUCUGCCUCACUGACUAAAGGUAUUGCCUCUCAAUUACAAUGUUGAUGUCUGGGUUUUUAUACACUUGGUGUUAGGCUACAAAUUGUGUGAUAGUUCAUUGGAUAGUUUGUCUCCUUCUCAUUUACUAACUCGGCAGAUGGGGUGAUUGCAAUUUGAGUUUGUUUAGGUCUCUAGGUUUGUUUGUGUUGUUUGUGUUUUGUUCAUUGCAUUGUUCCUGUCAUGAUUUGGGGUCAGUUUGGUUUUAUUGUUUACUGAUUGUGGUCAUUGGGUUAAUUGUAAUGAUAAAGAGCACUAAUAAAUAAGGACGGUUCUCCUUCGGAAGUCGGUUUUCUCUGUUGUUGGGUUUUCUGGAUAUUUAGGUGUUGGUUGGUGCAUUGGCUUCUUUAUUUAUGACAGUCUAGAUAUGUCCAAUUUCGCUUGCUUUUAAAUAGGUACUCCAGAGAUGUGUUUUGUAGGAACUGUAUGAUUGAACUCGGGCAGAUGGGUUCCUGAUUCCAAUCUUGGUUCUUUUAUCACAUCCAGGUUUCCUGAGUAGCUGGCCUUCACUUUCAUUUUGUGCUGUCAAUGUAUAAUUAGGGUUUGGGGUAAUUGGUCCGGAUUGAAUUUGGCUUCCCACCUAAUCAGUCACACCUUUGGUUCAUGUUUGUAAUUCUAUGUUUUCAGGAUUUUUCUUCUGAUUGUAUUAUUGGCUUCAUAUUUAACACAUGAUUGAUUAGUUGUUGUGUGUGUGCGUUAGAUCAAGAUUCUGAGAAUAAUCAGUUAGGAUAUUUUCAACCAAAUCAUAAAACGAAACUCAAAACUUGGUUAAUUCCAUUGUUGUGAUUGUUUAAGAUCCCUUUGUACUUUGAAAGCGAAUUUUGUUUACAGGAAUUCAUGAAAAACCUAUAGCUGUACUGAUUCAUUUGAUAAUUUUGCCAACAGUAAUUGCUUGGUCCGGGUAUAUGGUUUUUCCUAUGUUCAGUUUUGGUUGCAAUAUUGCUGACCAUUUGUUGUAAAUUCCUCAAUGUUAUCUGGCCGUUCACUAUUGGUGUGUAUAAGUAUUAGACCAUUUCAAUAUUAGUGUCUGUUCAUAAGUAGUUUUUAGGAAAUUCUCAUGCUUCCUUUUUUUUUUUAUGUGGUUCUGAUUUCUUUUUUCCUAGGUAUAUCAGUAUCAGAGUGGGGUAUGUUGUUGCUGAGGGUAACCAUUUUAGGAUCAGGGUGUUGCUGAGGGUGUCAUUUUGAUAAUCAUUGAGAUAUGUAAAUAUAUGAGAUUUGUGUGAUUAUCUGAAUUAUUAAUGUGUGUGAUCAUCUCUGUCCCUGGAUAACUAUUUGGGGCAACAUGGUAGCUUCCAUGUUGUGAGAAACUGCAACUGAUAGUGAGUUACUUCUCCUCAGGUUCUUUGUUUUCAUAAAUGUGUGGUUUUCUUGCUUGGUUAAGGUUACUUGAUUUUUGAACUGUUUUUCAGGGUAGACGAACAAAUGAUGCCUUAACUUUACAGGUACAACUUUACAGGUAUACCUUUUUUUUUGGUUUCUUUGCUCUAUCUGUGGCUCUCACUCUCAGGAAUGAAAGAUAAUUAGAAAAAUUUACUUCUGCAGAGAAAAUGAAUCAUUUGUUUUUCUAAUAUAAUAUAAAAUACAUCUUUUCAAAUUAAAAUUAAAGCUACCAUGUUCCUGCCUAUGAUCUAUGCAGGUUUAUGUUUGUGUAAACAAGGAAAAAGCAAGAAGAAGACGUUCGUAAUACACUUAGCAGCACUAUUCCUUAAAAUUAUCCCUUUUCAAUAUAUUUGCUUUACUGCGUUUGCCCAUUUGUGUUCAUGAUUACCUAUAUAUCCUGAUUCAGGGUAACCUGAGAUUUCAGUUGCAGAAGUGUUCAUUCGUUUCAGUGUGACCAGAGGCAUACUUUUACCUUAUAACUUAUAAUAACAAAGCAAUUGGAUGGUUUCAUCUACUGUCGGUGUGACGAGAGGCAUACCUAUACCCUAAAUUAUAAGAUGGUUUCAUCUUUAUGUAUCCAGUUUCAUAGAGUUCUUAACAGAAGAUGGUCCUUCAUGUAUCCUAUUCAAUAGCAAAGGCUCCCGUUAGUGGUUUAUAAAUUAUUAGAUGUUAUCACGUUGUUCAAUUUCAACUGUUUUAUUCCAUUUGCAUUUCCACUUCUACAUAUAAUUUUUUACAGUUUCCACUGUUUAGAAUGUUGCCUUAAUUAUUCUUGCUCUCCACAAUGAACCUUUAUAUAUAUUGUCCUUCCAGCUGGUAAGAAAAAAUUUAAUGAAUAAAACUGUCGUACUCCAUUAACACAGAACGUUCCAAAAAACCGCGGCUUGCCGCGGGCAUCAUCCUUGUGGUAUAUAUUGAAGGAUAAAAUACAAAAGGUGGGUACAUGGCAAGCUUUUUAUUGCUAUCUAGCAAGAGCAUGUGAUCGACUGACCUGACUAACAAAGCAAGGCAACGACAUAUAUGCCUGCAAAUUAUUAAAACAUCACCAACCAAUGCAAAGAUAAUAGCAUAUGAAAAAGACACGCACGUACGUAAACAUGGGUGGAACCACGAGGAAGAAGAAGCUUAAUUAG
RNAcentral lists this long non-coding RNA (3567 nucleotides) under Fragaria vesca (wild strawberry). Its description in RNAcentral is "long non-coding RNA (FVES_LNC002170)". Lineage: Eukaryota; Viridiplantae; Streptophyta; Magnoliopsida; Rosales; Rosaceae. The record is from RNAcentral.